Molecule: non-coding RNA, 382 nt
Organism: Camelina sativa (false flax)
Lineage: Eukaryota; Viridiplantae; Streptophyta; Magnoliopsida; Brassicales; Brassicaceae
Source: RefSeq, a predicted model, not a curated record
GGGGGGGGUGUACUAUGGUCUAUAUCUUACGUGGGAGAGAUGGAUAACUCAAGUGGAGUUAGCAGUCGAUUCAGAGUUCAUGGUCGGUUUUCACACGAAUGGGAUCCUUGACAAUCAUCCCUUGUUCUUCCUAGUGGGAUUGUGUUAUAGCUUUCUUUCAAAGGACUGGCUUGCAGCUGUUUGAUUCUUGUCUCAAGGAUCUUCUUUCUGUUUUGAUGGAGGAUGCUAGAGAGGAUGCCAUCUCUGGAUGGAUUUGUUUGUAAUUUUAUGUUCUUUUUAAUAAAUAAGGGAGGUAGUGUCUCUCCUUUUCCCACCAAAAAAAAAAAAGUUUGAAGAAUAACUAAGUUUAUUAUUUUCACAUAAUCAUGUCGCUUUACCUCAA